AGCUCGUGUCGUGAGAUGUUGGGUUAAGUCCGUAACGAGCGCAACCCUUGUCCUAGUUACCAGCACGUUAUGGUGGGCACUCUAAGGAGACUGCCGGUGGACAAACCGGAGGAAGGUGGGGAUGACGUCAAGUCCAUCAUGGCCCUUACGGCCUGGGCUACACACGUGCUACAAUGGUCGGUACAAAGGGUUGCCAAGCCGCGAGGUGGAGCUAAAUCCCAUAAAACCGAUCGUAGUCCGGAUCGCAGUCUGCAACUCGACUGCGUGAAGUCGGAAUCGCUAGUAAUCGUGAAUCAGAAUGUCACGGUGAAUACGUUCCCGGGCCUU
This 327-nucleotide ribosomal RNA is filed under the name uncultured Pseudomonas sp. RNAcentral's name for it is "bacterial SSU rRNA". It matches the Rfam family "Bacterial small subunit ribosomal RNA", at positions 1057 to 1382 of the family's 1533-position model. The record is from RNAcentral. Lineage: Bacteria; Pseudomonadati; Pseudomonadota; Gammaproteobacteria; Pseudomonadales; Pseudomonadaceae.